UGCAAAGUAGGGCUAACUUGGAUGAGGGCUGCUGCGGAGGACUAUUUCUGGUCACACCUCAGCAAGAAGCCAAACGAACAGGCCAUCUGUCUGCAUCCUCUGCGUGGCAUUGAGAGGGAAUCAUCCAACAGACAAAUCACAUCAAGGGGCAAUCUCAACCCAGAGAAGGUAAGAGAGAGAUUUCAGGCACGCCUUCCACUCAAGCGUGACUUUUCCUCUU
Molecule: long non-coding RNA, 220 nt
Filed under: Phascolarctos cinereus (koala)
Lineage: Eukaryota; Metazoa; Chordata; Mammalia; Diprotodontia; Phascolarctidae
Description: lncRNA (ENSPCIG00000028128.2)
Source: RNAcentral